AGUUAGGAGGGGCCAUGGCUCAGUGGAAGAGCAUCUUCUUGGGAUGCGGAAGGUGCCAGGUUCAAUCCUUGCCUUGUCUA
Molecule: transfer RNA, 80 nt
Filed under: Sphaerodactylus townsendi
Lineage: Eukaryota; Metazoa; Chordata; Lepidosauria; Squamata; Sphaerodactylidae
Description: tRNA-Pro
Source: RNAcentral